Molecule: long non-coding RNA, 1046 nt
Filed under: Physcomitrium patens
Lineage: Eukaryota; Viridiplantae; Streptophyta; Bryopsida; Funariales; Funariaceae
Description: long non-coding RNA (PPAT_LNC011874)
Source: RNAcentral
UUAAAUCAAAGUGUGUGAAUGUUCUUGCAAGUUGAGGUCUCAGAAAUUAGAAUUUGAGGGUCAAUGAAUAUUUUUAAGAUCUUUACCAAUUUUUUAAUUGGAUUGAAAUGAAAUUUUUUUGUAUAGAGAUUAGACUUGAUUUUCCAUAGUUUAAGUGUAUUUUUGAGGCAAUUCAAUGAUUCAAGAAGGAGAUAUUAGAAGUUUAAAAUUUAGAUUGGAGUAGGAGGGUCGCCAACACUUGAGUGGAAUUUAGGUUUGAUCCUCUAUUUGGUAAGUUCGAUCUUUUUCAAAUUUUGUGUACUUUUUGCCAACUUAGUUGUUGAAAAGUGUGUAAAAUCUUAAGCAAGAUCAAUGGUAUAAUCGAUAGAUAUUAAGGUUUUAAACUACCCUAGGAUUUGGUUAAUUUGAUUAGGAUUUGGUUUAGGAUUUAGGAAUUGGUUAGGAUUUAGGAUUUAUUUAGGAUUUAGUUAGGAUUUGACUUAGGAUUUAAGUAAAGACUACUAGGAUUUUAACUAGAAUUAAAUUAAGAUUUGGUUGGAAUUUAUUUAAGAUAUAUUUUAGAUUUUAUUUUAAUACUUCUUUUGAAUUUUUUAAAGAUUUCUUCAUGCUUCUUUUGUAAUUUAUUUGAGGUUUCUUUAGAUUUAAUUAAAGCUUGAUUAGCAUUUUUAAGAUUUAAUUGUAGUUAUUUAGGAUUCUAUUAGAAUUAAAAUCUUGUUGUUGCAAUAUUUCUUCUACCUUCCAUAGCCAAAAGCUUGGUAUAUUUUCAAGUAAGGCAUCACAUAAUACAACAAUGUAUCUUAUAAAUUGGACAUAUAUUGGAGGUGCUAUAAAACAUCACUAUGUAGCUUCUAGUUAGAUAGUAUAUAUGGAGGCAAGACUGAAGCCCUCUUCACUCUUAUCAAUUCUUUUCUAGUUGUUAGUCUUAUUUCAAGACUUUCUAGUCUUCUUGUCUUUACUAAUUGCCAUUCUAGUUCAACAUAUUAUCAACUUUGAGUAAUUUUUAAGUUUUUUUAAGUGACAUAAGAGUGUAUUGAGAUUUUUUUUUU